This 2257-nucleotide long non-coding RNA is filed under the name Nicotiana benthamiana. RNAcentral describes it as "long non-coding RNA (NBEN_LNC039586)". The record is from RNAcentral. Lineage: Eukaryota; Viridiplantae; Streptophyta; Magnoliopsida; Solanales; Solanaceae.
CAGCUCUUAAAUAAAAGUGUCCAAAUAACCUAACAUUAAAAUACUUUUGUCUCAUCUCCCUCUCUCAUCUUCUUCCAUCAUCUGAACCCUAACGCCCCAGAUGUUCCUCCAUUAACACCGGCCAUCCUCCACAAAUUACCACCACAAAUCAACACCCAACAACCAUCACCCUUCCCUCAACCCUAUUCUAUCAUCAUUUUGCCCAAAACCUCAUAAAUCAGUCCGUUUCGAGUUUGAAGUUGAAGGAGAAGAAAUUCGCCAAUUCGUCAGCUUCCUUGAGCGAUAGGGCUCAAAACGAGCAUUGGCCAUGUGUUUUCGUUGAGAACACCUGGUUAAUAUUUGUUUCGACUCGAAUCGAAGCCGAGGUUCAUUCAAGCCAUCUCUCGAUUUUCCCCUUUAGGUAUUUCUCUCUGUUCCUUUUCUUUUCCUUGUUUUCAUUCUUGUUUCCACUCCCGCCUCGUUCUUCUCUGAUUUUUUGUUGUUCUUCAUCACUGUUUUUUUUCCUAUCUCGUGUUUAUCUGUUUUUCUAUUGUGAAAGUAUCGUUAAAGUCGAGUCGAUUAAUAUAACAGUUAGUGUCGAUUUAGGAUUCGUCUAGGAUUGUGAAUUAAUUCAGUCGUGUGUGAUUCUAUCUUGUGACUGCUUUUGAGUUUUUCUUUUAGUUUAAUUUUGCUUCGAUUUCGAUUAAGUCUGUUGUUUUGUGAUUUUUAUGUUAGUUUAAUUUGGUUUCGAAUGUAUUUUUUUUCGUUGAAUUUGAUUACUUCAGUAAUUUCUUGUUUUGCCGUUAGUAGGUUUCUAUUAAUUCUAGUUUGAUUGGAUAUAGUUGCGUAGUUAGAUGAAUUAACCUUAGUUUGUUUUUAAUAAAGGCAAAAGGGGUUUGGGUUGGGUCAGUAGAGUUAUUUGGUAAUUUCAGGAUAAGCUAAGGGCAAUUUCGCAAUUGAGAUAGUUCAAAGCUGGGAAUCUUUUAAUAACUGAAUUAAGAAAUCACUAUAAGCACUUAGAAGAGGUUAAAAAUUGAAUUUUAGUAGUAUUAGUGUACUAACUUGUGGCACAAUUCAAAAACUAAGGGAUUAAAAGCUGAAAAAGGGAGGGACUAAUAUGAGAAGUGCAAAAUUGAGGGUUGCCCUUCCUUAGGCCUAUAAAAGGCAUCAAAAUGCCUUGAGAAGCAAGUUUGGCAGCCCAAAAAUACCCCCAAGCUUCCAGAUCUGAAAUUCAUAUCUGAAAUCCCCUUAGAUCUUAGCAUUCUUCAAGAAAAAACUAAAAAUAAUAUAAAACUGUAGAAAACCAAAGAAAAGCUAUUGUUUUAUUGGAUUCUAUGUGAAUGUUGUCUCCUAGCUACUGCUUUACAUUUUUAGUUUUUGUUUCUGAUUAUUCAAAGUUUUAGAGUGUGGUUGAUUGGUUUCGAGGGAAUUUGGGGUUCAAGUAAGACUGUUUCAGGCUGUUUCUGUCAGUUGGUGAAUUCAAAAAAUGGCUCCAGUCCAGUUUCGAGUAUGUCUGGGUGUUUUCGAGUCAGUUUGAGGUCAUUCGAAUUGGUCUAGUGAGUUAAUUUGGAAUCUGGGUCGUUUGUUCCAGCUUGUUUGCAUUUGAAACAACAUGAUUUUGCUCUUAAGUGUUCAGUUAGUUGAGAUUCAGCAGCUCUUGAGGUCCUUUGGGUCGUAUCUGGUUUGAUUCAAGUUUGGUUGAUUGGUUGUUUGCUGGAAUUGGUAAUUACUGGUUUGUUUUUAAGCUGGUGGUGUCAUUUUGGUUUAAAAUUGCAUUGGCUUUCAAUAUCAAAUCCUCCUGUUGCUUACAAGUUGAUCCCUGCUGAUUUGUAUUCGAUUUGCUAUUGUUGUUACAUCUACUAUUGCUGACUGCUCCUAUUUUCAUUGUAUUUCGAAUUCCAGGUACACCUUUGAAUCUCAGCUGUAAUUCCGAGUUUGAAAAAUAGAAUAAGAGUGUCCAUUUAUUCAAUCUUGAAGAAUGAUUGCGGGAAUAUCACCAGCUAAAUGCAUAAUAGUGAAGUGUCGAUUCUUAUAUGUUGAAAAUUGGACUGUUAAUAUAUGAUGUGUACUGUGAGUUAUUUUAAAUUCGCAAAUUGGAAGUUGUGACUUAGUCUUUGUUAGUUUAAUCUCGUGUUCUUGUGUAGCUUCAUUAAAAUUAGUUUAAAUGAGAUUGAUGAGUAUUAGCAUGUCAUUAAAAUGAUUGCAGUGUUUAACUUUAAAAUUAAGAGUUACUUUAAUAUUGAUAAUGCUUCCCUGAACAAUUGAAUGUUGAUAGGAG